RNAcentral lists this small nuclear RNA (155 nucleotides) under Meriones unguiculatus (Mongolian gerbil). Its description in RNAcentral is "U1 spliceosomal RNA (ENSMUGG00000025788.1)". It matches the Rfam family "U1 spliceosomal RNA". Rfam says of the family: U1 is a small nuclear RNA (snRNA) component of the spliceosome (involved in pre-mRNA splicing). The record is from RNAcentral. Lineage: Eukaryota; Metazoa; Chordata; Mammalia; Rodentia; Muridae.
AACCCUAACAGGGGAGAUGGCAUCAUCAGGAAGGUAGUUUUCUCAGGGUAAGGCUUAUCAACUCUUCUCUGAAUGCGUUGACCCCUGCAGUUUCCCCAAAUGUGGGAAAUCAUACCCCAUUUGUAACAGUGAGGACUGAGUUCACACUUUCCUCU